GAUGAACGCUGGCGGCGUGCCUAAUACAUGCAAGUCGAGCGAACGGACGAGAAGCUUGCUUCUCUGAUGUUAGCGGCGGACGGGUGAGUAACACGUGGAUAACCUACCUAUAAGACUGGGAUAACUUCGGGAAACCGGAGCUAAUACCGGAUGAUAUUUUGAACCGCAUUGUUCAAAAGUGAAAGACGGUCUUGCUGUCACUUAUAGAUGGAUCCGCGCUGCAUUAGCUAGUUGGUAAGGUAACGGCUUACCAAGGCAACGAUGCAUAGCCGACCUGAGAGGGAGAUCGGCCACACUGGAACUGAGACACGGUCCAGACUCCUACGCGAGGCAGCAGUAGGGAAUCUUCCGCAAUGGGCGAAAGGCUGACGGAGCAACGCCGCGUGAGUGAUGAAGGUCUUCGGAUCGUAAAACUCUGUUAUUAGGGAAGAACAUAUGUGUAAGUAACUGUGCACAUCUUGACGGUACCUAAUCAGAAAGCCACGGCUAACUACGUG
RNAcentral lists this ribosomal RNA (497 nucleotides) under uncultured bacterium. Its description in RNAcentral is "partial 16S ribosomal RNA". It matches the Rfam family "Bacterial small subunit ribosomal RNA", at positions 28 to 507 of the family's 1533-position model. The record is from RNAcentral.